Molecule: long non-coding RNA, 5867 nt
Organism: Ostrea edulis (European flat oyster)
Lineage: Eukaryota; Metazoa; Mollusca; Bivalvia; Ostreida; Ostreidae
Exons: 2
Source: RefSeq, a predicted model, not a curated record
AGUUCCAGUUCCCACCCUCCAAUAUUUUUGCCAACAUAUGCUUGACAGUAUACAAUACAGAUCGUUAAUUUACGGUCAUGCCCUUUCCAGGCACGUAAAACCCGGGGGGGGGGGGGGGGGGGGGGGCAGGAAACCUAACGUUUUACUGUUAAUUUACUAUGAAAAUGGUCAUACAUCCAGACGAUUUUUUCAUAAUGCUCAAAUAAAUGAAAAAAAAACAACAAAAAAGAAUUAUAUACUAUGAUUAAUACGAUAAAUUCUUUCCAUAUAGAAGUUUUGAGAUAAUAAAACAGCCAAAAUUUAAACACACAACCUCUAACAAAUUUUCAGAAUUUAAAUACUAUAACAUGUAUUAUGUUUCCGCUCUGUAUACAACAUAUAAUAAACAGGUGAAAACACAAUCUUCAUUACCGGCAAUCCUGCACAAAAAAUAAUGCUGAUACACACAUAAAGCUACCAACUAAAUGGUAUUUACGCUCCAUUAAAAAAAAAUUGUCGAAACUAAUUUUUUUCAAAAAAAGUUAUCUGUAAUAAUAAAAAUUAAGCACUUGUACAACAGGUAAACUUCUUUUCAUUCACCGAUGACUCUUAUCAACCGUGUUACAUCUACGAUUUCCUGUAAAAAAACCAUUCAUCGUGAAAUCAUUAGUACUCAUGACAUUCAAAGUAACAUAACACUGUCAUCUAAACAAAACGGUUCGCGGACGGUCGUCUUCUGUUAGAACCCAUGCGUAAACAAUAAUGCCACCGAUAGAAGGCGCAGCUUACAACCGUACAUAAAGUUAUCGUUCGUGUCAUAGGUCAUUGAUCACCUGGUGUCUGAGGCCGUGACCACUGGCAAUAAUUUUAAUUAAGUUCUCAAUUAUUCCCGAUACUGAUUAUCCAUUGAUAAUUUAGCUCGCAAUUAAUGGCUCUGGACAGGCACAUGCUUAUACCUCUGAGAAUAAUUGUAAUAUUAUUUAAAACACAUAAAAAUUGGUUCUCAUGUAUCAUAUUUAAAUCCAUUUGAAAAAAGAAUGAACACGCCGAUCUGUUUGCGCUUUCACUUCAUAAAUAAACAGAUAUAGGAAGUUCUUUCACUACAUGAAUGAACGAAGCUGAUAAUUUUGAAUUCCAAAUAAAUAGUUUUAAACAUGAUUUCUCAUUUACAAGGCUUUCCAAUUAAAUUUUGGCGAUCCCGGUGUUAUGUAACAAAUAUUUUACAUACUUUUAGAUCUCGAAAAUCGGCAAAUGGAUUGCUAAGAAGAAACAUGACAAUAACUACAUAUACAUAUUCACAUUUCCCCCUUAAAUAAAAAUAAAAUUAAUAAAUUUCAUCAGGUUUCCUCUCCGUGGUAUGGUCAAAUGGAAACACAUGUAAUAACUUAAUUAAAUCAUUUAAACACAGAAUAUGUUAUUUUCAUUUCUAUGCAGUAAUAUAUGCGCCUAGAAAUAAUUAUACUUCUAACUGAAACACGCUAUCAUUUUCAAAAAAACGUUUUCAAGGAGAUCGGCUAUAAAUCUAACCGAACUAAAAACAAACGCUUCGAUUAAAUAAGAUGAAAAUAACGUAAGCUGCAAAUAUAGUACAAACCAUCAUUCCACACUUUCAAAGCAAAUUACUAAUUAUGUAGUACUUUCUUCUAAAUAAUCACCCAUAGAAAAUUAGAGUAAAUUUGACAAUAUGUAUAAUAAAUUAAAUCAUUGAGAAACUAACACCAUUAAUAACAGAUAUGGGAAUGUGUUUUAUAGAAAAAGUAACAAAGUGUUUGAAAGCAAUCAAUAAAUAUUUAAUGCAUGAGUUAUCAUGAACUCGUGCUGUAUGGACACCAGUCCCCCCCCCCCCCCUUCCGAAAAAACAACAUACAAACAAACAUAAGGAAAAAAACUCGAUUUUGUUUACUUUGUUUGGCGCCGCGGGAGCAUUUUCAAUGUGAUUUGAAACAUUCUAUUGGUCAAGUCGGAUUUUAUGCUCUUAUAAAGGAUCAAAAUAUUUUUGAACAUCGUUAGAAACUGGAGCUGCUGACAAUUUACUAUACCUGCAAUGUUUCAGUACAAUGAAUUGAUGAUAAGUUUUUAUAUCAAAUAAUGAAUAACUAUUGAUUUAUCAGGGUGCAGAGUUUGUGAGACAAGUUCUGAUUUAGGUUCUACCCUUCCUUUAGGACAAAAUGAUAUAUAAUAUGAAUUAUACAUCUUAUAAAUACAACCUCAACACCACAUAUAAAUGUAUACGAUUUGUAACAAAAUUCUGUAAUAGAUAUGAACACUAAUAAAUAAAACAAGAGUUUAGAAAAUCGAAAUUGACAAACGUCAGUUCAUGACUUUCUAGUCACAGGUAUGGGUGAAAGGAGGAUGCACAGCAAGUUGAAGUCCCUACUACCCACUAAUUUUGCCAAUAUACGCUUUACAAAAGAAUACAAAAGCCUCAAUUUACGACCGUGCCCUCUUAAUCUGCAUUAUGCACAACCCCCUAUCUUUCUGCCUACAAACUGCUACGCGGGCUUCGAGACUUAAGCCCCUAACUGCAGCGUAGAAACCCAAAGAUAUCGACAUUUUCAAAGAUCAGUAAAGACGCAAAAAAUCUGAAAUAAAUCAUAAAAUCACGAGGGUGAACUCAAAGAAAAAAAAAACAACCAAGCAGGAUAAGGUGCUUUGACUCGACGCAUCGAAGUAUGGUCUGAAACAAACCAAUAUUAGUCCUCUUUCUGACCACUGUUCCCUGUUCUGUAUCUGUGGAUGCUUUGGGAAAGCAGGAUAACCAUUUUUGUCGGGGGAGGGGGGAUGAUGUUACAUAUAUCCAAGGAUGAAAAACAACAUCAUUUAAAAUUUUCAGCAUUUUAUCGGUCCAAAAACAGGUUGCAUUUCAAUGGAAAACCGUCACCGUUAUUGCCCAUUGCACCUUGGUGAAAAGCAAUGUUUUUAUGAUAUCCACAUCAUAAAACACUACUUUUCAUAAAACCUUCCCAUUAAUAUCUGACAAUCUAACAAAAGAGACUGUCUCUUCGAGCCGGAAGAACAGAUAGCAAUAUUACCGAACACUAAUGAUAGUUCCAGCAAACAAAGUUUAAGAUAUCACCAAGUCCCCCUAUCCGUGCAAAUGUGCCCAGACCGCAACUUUUAAAAAUACACCGUAAGCUCAAUCUUCACAUAAAGAUUAUUAAUGACAAUAACAUAAAUAAUCUUGAUGUAAGGUCAUUUGCACCAUUUCUAAAGGUCUAAAAGUUAAAAAUUGAUUAAAGUCUUAAUAGAUCUAACUAAUGGCAAAUUUUAAUUAAUACUGAAAGAAAAGUUUCCAUAUGAUCAAAGAAAGUGUCCUGGCCUUGACCCAUGCUCAUAUUGUCAAGUUCACUUUUUUGAAAAUACAAACCCUGUCCUGACCAUAUGCUGUAAUGAAGAAACAUUUAAAUUUCAUACUUACAACAGAUUUUCAUGUUAAUUGAGGCUGCAUUAGGACCUGACCCAAGGACAUAUGGUCAAGUUCAAGGUUUUUAUGUCACACAGCUCCGACGGAAGACCUCUCGUUGCUUUGCAACGAGCUUUGCUCUAGUUUCAUAAUAUUUUUUGGGUCGAUUUACGAAUUACGAGGUAGAAUUUUCAAAAUGCUGAUUAAUUAAUAUCAUUAUGAAAUGUGUUAGAUUAAGUUCAAAUAAAGUUCUUACAAUAUGAUUAUCCUAAUGAAUAAUAAAAAUUGUAACACAUAUAGAAAAAAAAUAACAAUAACAGAUUUAAAUCUAGGCGAGUAUGCAUGAUUUGUCACAGUGAAAUAUUGAUAGCUGUUGUACUUUGUCCAAUGCUACGAUGUUAUAUUAGAAAACUUUAAAUAGAGUCGGAGCAAAUUCAGUCACACACAUGUAAAUAGUGUACUGACAUUUUCAAAGCCUGUCGGCAAACUACAUCAACCAAGUCUGAGCUUAUUUUUACUGGUCACCAUUCCCGUCAAAUGGAAUGUCGGGGGGGGGGGGGGGGGGGGGGCUAUAAAUGUAAUCAAGAUAUGCAUGCAAUACAUAUCGAUUAUCAUGGAAAUUUCAUUUCAGGUACCUCAGCAUACGACUUUUCAUGGAGAAUUCUACUUUGUAUCUAUCCUGUAAUAGACUAUGAAAAUGAUCCAAGUGAAUUCCAUUCCUUCUAACAAAAUGGAUGUUCCCUGGAGGCCCAGAGUUCUGAAAGAUGUUAAGGAAUUUUGUAUUCGGUAACUCACAGUCACCUGUCUCACUUGUCCCGCUACAAUCGGAAGACAUCAACCAAAAAAAGGAGAAAAAAAUAGGUUUAUCGAUGAUAGCAUCGCAUAUAAUCUGACGCAUAUCUCAUGCACCAAAAAAAAAAAAAUAUAUAUAUAUAUAUAUAUAUAGAGAGAGAGAGAGAGAGAGAGAGAGAGAGAGAGAGAGGAUCGGAAGAGAUAUAUAAAAAAAAAUCAAUAUUAUAACAGGCAAACUAACAAUGUACGAGAUGUUUACUAGGAAUAAGGAGCUUGGGUGUCCCCUCUUGGGUUACAAAUGACUGCUAUUCUCAGAUUUACUAAUUUAGAAAUGUCAAAGUCUAUAUUCAAGAGUCCACAACAGAAUGAUUCAGCACUUAUAUUGCAGUAUUUCUCUAGUCGUUCCAUCUCUCUGUGAGCGACUUCGAUCCUCCUCUUAGUAAGGGCUUCCUCCCUGUUCUGUUGUGCCCUAUCCUGUUUCAGGGCUUGUGUUUUCUCCCGAGCCUCUGAAAAACAAAAAGAAGUGUUAAAUAUGCAAUCAACGUUGGUGAAUAUUAAAUGAUACGCAGCAUUAAAUUCAUAUUCAUCUACCUCUCCAUUUCUCAAUGUCCUCCUCCUUUUCUUCAGGGAUUCGGGGAGGUGGCAUUUUUGGUGUAUCCUCAGAUAUAAAAGUCAGACCAAAGGCGACUCCGCCUUUCUUACCUACCAUCUCCUCGGUGACAAUUUCACGGCAUACUUUUUGGUACACCUCAAUGUUCCUAACGAAACGUCGUUUAAAGACACCCAUGAGAGGAAGACAAACCAUUCCCCUUCCAUCAGCGUACGCCCCUCACACUCCCUCCAUCAGGGAAUCUGUUUCAAUGGAGGAGAACCGAACAUUGCUGCCCCGAUGCCUCUGCGGCCUGCUGGUCCGUCUAACGAAAUAAUCAGCAAAUGAAGUGAACUUCCUAGAUAGCUAUAUAAUCAACCUGGAAAUAAUUAACAAACACUUUCUAAUUUUCUUUAGACAAUCAUGACUUUGAAAUGUGAAAAAAAAAAAUGAAAUGGAAAAUGGGGACAUGUGCUUCUGCAAGAUGUUUCAACUGUGGAUACGAGACUGAUCUGAUAAGUCUUUAUGACAAAGGCAAAAACCACAAAUGCCUUAUGAACUCCGCCAAUGUUAAAAACUUAAAUAGGCCAGAUGUUCAGUUCCUCCUGGCUUGAUUGAACGUAAAUUCUCCACGAUGGGUCCAUCACUAAAUACAGAGUUUUGAGUGAAGCAACCGAAAAUAACUAAGGUGGAAAAUAAGAAGUCAGUGAUUGAAAACCAAGUAUGCGGGGGAAAAAAGUUAAAAGGCCACGGAAACACAAGGAAAUAAAGUGGACCUACAGAUGGACACAUCUUACAGUAAUCGGAAUCAGUCUGGAAUGAAAACUGGAAUACUGUCCAUUGCUCCUGUGGCCGAAUGUUGUACAAGCCACAAACUUGUAGCAUUAAACAUUUAAAACAAAGCGUGCACGAGGAGGGGCAAAUGUGAUCACCAGGGCUGUUAUAAAAUUACGCCACUGGUAGAUCCAUUGCCUCUUCGACCAAAAUAAAUCUGAAAUCAGUGACCUAUGAUAAAAUUGGGAAGUGGUGAGAGAAUUCUAUCACCAUCCAUUUCACAUUAUCACUGCUUAGAUCAUCAAUUAAGAAAUUUACAAUUAACAAAAA